RNAcentral lists this ribosomal RNA (766 nucleotides) under Staphylococcus epidermidis. RNAcentral describes it as "bacterial SSU rRNA". It matches the Rfam family "Bacterial small subunit ribosomal RNA", at positions 28 to 776 of the family's 1533-position model. The record is from RNAcentral. Lineage: Bacteria; Bacillati; Bacillota; Bacilli; Caryophanales; Staphylococcaceae.
GAUGAACGCUGGCGGCGUGCCUAAUACAUGCAAGUCGAGCGAACAGACGAGGAGCUUGCUCCUUUGACGUUAGCGGCGGACGGGUGAGUAACACGUGGAUAACCUACCUAUAAGACUGGGAUAACUUCGGGAAACCGGAGCUAAUACCGGAUAACAUGUUGAACCGCAUGGUUCAACAGUGAAAGACGGUCUUGCUGUCACUUAUAGAUGGAUCCGCGCCGCAUUAGCUAGUUGGUAAGGUAACGGCUUACCAAGGCAACGAUGCGUAGCCGACCUGAGAGGGUGAUCGGCCACACUGGAACUGAGACACGGUCCAGACUCCUACGGGAGGCAGCAGUAGGGAAUCUUCCGCAAUGGGCGAAAGCCUGACGGAGCAACGCCGCGUGAGUGAAGAAGGUCUUCGGAUCGUAAAACUCUGUUAUUAGGGAAGAACAAAUGUGUAAGUAACUAUGCACGUCUUGACGGUACCUAAUCAGAAAGCCACGGCUAACUACGUGCCAGCAGCCGCGGUAAUACGUAGGUGGCAAGCGUUAUCCGGAAUUAUUGGGCGUAAAGCGCGCGUAGGCGGUUUUUUAAGUCUGAUGUGAAAGCCCACCGCUCAACCGUGGAGGGUCAUUGGAAACUGGAAAACUUGAGUGCAGAAGAGGAAAGUGGAAUUCCAUGUGUAGCGGUGAAAUGCGCAGAGAUAUGGAGGAACACCAGUGGUGAAGGCGACUUUCUGGUCUGUAACUGACGCUGAUGUGCGAAAGCGUGGGGAUCAAACAGG